This is a long non-coding RNA of Oncorhynchus keta (chum salmon), 1366 nucleotides long. RefSeq lists it as uncharacterized. Lineage: Eukaryota; Metazoa; Chordata; Actinopteri; Salmoniformes; Salmonidae. The transcript has 9 exons. The record is from RefSeq and is a predicted model, not a curated record.
CAGAGAGACAGAGAGAGAGACAGAGAGAGAGACAGAGAGAGAGACAGAGAGAGAGACAGAGAGAGAGACAGAGAGAGACAGAGAGAGACAGAGAGAGACAGAGAGAGACAGAGAGAGACAGAGAGAGACAGAGAGAGACAGAGAGAGACAGAGAGAGAGAGUGAGAGAGGAGUCAAUAUAGCUGUGAAUAACAGGUCAUGUCAGCAGAACACCAUACUGCAGAACACAGAGAGAGAGAGAGAGAGAGAGAGAGAGAGAGAGAGAGAGAGAGAGAGAGAGAAGUCAAUACAGCUGUGAAUAACAGGUCAUGUCAGCAGAACACCAUACUGCAGAACACAGAGAGAGAGAGAGAGGAGUCAAUACAGCUGUGAAUAACAGGUCAUGUCAGCAGAACACCAUACUGCAGAACACAGAGAGAGAGAGAGAGGAGUCAAUACAGCUGUGAAUAACAGGUCAUGUCAGCAGAACACCAUACUGCAGAACACAGAGAGAGAGAGAGAGGAGUCAAUACAGCUGUGAAUAACAGGUCAUGUCAGCAGAACACCAUACUGCAGAACACAGAGAGAGAGAGAGAGGAGUCAAUACAGCUGUGAAUAACAGGUCAUGUCAGCAGAACACCAUACUGCAGAACACAGAGAGAGAGAGAGAGGAGUCAAUACAGCUGUGAAUAACAGGUCAUGUCAGCAGAACACCAUACUUCAGAACACAGAGAGAGAGAGAGAGGAGUCAAUACAGCUGUGAAUAACAGGUCAUGUCAGCAGAACACCAUACUGCAGAACACAGAGAGAGAGAGAGAGGAGUCAAUACAGCUGUGAAUAACAGGUCAUGUCAGCAGAACACCAUACUGCAGAACACAGAGAGAGAGAGAGAGAGAGAGAGAGAGAGAGGAGUCAAUACAGCUGUGAAUAACAGGUCAUGUCAGCAGAACACCAUACUGCAGAACACAGAGAGAGAGAGAGAGAGAGAGAGAGGAGUCAAUACAGCUGUGAAUAACAGGUCAUGUCAGCAGAACACCAUACUGCAGAACACAGUGAGAGAGAGAGGAGUCAAUACAGCUGUGAAUAACAGGUCAUGUCAGCAGAACACCAUACUGCAGAACACAGAGAGAGAGAGAGAGGAGUCAAUACAGCUGUGAAUAACAGGUCAUGUCAGCAGAACACCAUACUGUAGAACACAGAGAGAGAGAGAGAGAGAGAGAGAGAGAGAGAGAGAAGUCAAUACAGCUGUGAAUAACAGGUCAUGUCAGCAGAACACCAUACUGCAGAACACAGAGAGAGAGAGAGAGGAGUCAAUACAGCUGUGAAUAACAGGUCAUGUCAGCAGAACACCAUACUGUAGAACACACAGAGAGAGAGAGAGAGAGAGA